Molecule: long non-coding RNA, 205 nt
Filed under: Trifolium pratense (red clover)
Lineage: Eukaryota; Viridiplantae; Streptophyta; Magnoliopsida; Fabales; Fabaceae
Description: long non-coding RNA (TPRA_LNC002444)
Source: RNAcentral
UCACAUUCCUUGGCGUUUGAGCAUAAAUUGCGCCAUAACACUACAACAUUUGUUGUCUUUGGGAACACUUGUUUAUGCAACAUCUCAAAAUUGUUGCCUAAAAAUAGCUUUAGGCGACAUUUUAUACUUGUUGUCAAUAACAUUUUUACAACUACUCGUGAAUGUUCCCUAAAAUCUCUUUGGGGACGGUUUUUAAUCGUUCCUG